This is a non-coding RNA of Megalopta genalis, 3350 nucleotides long. The record is from RefSeq and is a predicted model, not a curated record. NCBI's taxonomy places the organism in Eukaryota, Metazoa, Arthropoda, Insecta, Hymenoptera, Halictidae.
CCUCCAUCUCAAUAGUCUCGAUCCAACGAUUACACCAGCGAACACCGCAAACAAGCAAAGGAACAUAGAAUCGUAAGUAGAAAAGACGGAUUUUCGACGAGGUCCUAUGGAAUACGAAAUCGUAUGCGGUGAACUGCGAGAACAACGUACGAGGACGAGGAGGGCGAACAUGUGCGAGCGAAGGGAAAACAGGUUCUCUCGCCAAGGGAUUGAAAAACUGCUUGGAUCCACCUUUUCGGCUGAAACUAGGCCCCGGCAUCCAUGUAAAAGUUCCCCCCCCCCCCCGAAGGACUUUAUUCUCACACCCACACCCAUGCGGUAUGUGGCAGCGGCGUAUGCAGGUAUGCAGGUAUAGGCGCAAGCCUCGGGCGAAGCGAAGAUUUCGACGAAAAUACGCGAGAAUACGGAAUCGAGACUACCAAUGCUAUCUGUAGACCCGAUAAGCAAACAGUUGGUAUCCCUCUAUCAUCGCUUUGCUCAUAGAUAAUGUACAACGCCGUCCUGGGACACUUUUCGCUGGUCCUGGCUUCUUCUCUUCACGAGAGUCCGGUUGUCCUGAGACAAGAGGGUGCCGUAGCUUGCUGCUAAAUCUGGAACACCGACACUGCAUAGAUGGAUACCGCGUAGUAUCCAUAGACGCGCGCAUCUUAAAACACAACGUUUUCUGGAGACUCCGCACGCGUGUACGCCUAACAAACAUACUGCCGAGAUCGCGCUGUGUUUCUUCCGUUUAAUUACUAAACGAGUAACAGCAUUCGAGUCUCCGAUAAAUACGACGAUUUCAGGUUCGAAUGAUAAACCGGUGAAAGAAGUAUGUAUGUAGUAGCAAAGCGUGGUUUGCUGCCUGCCGGGUGAUGGGUCAAGCAUCGUCCACGUUUUUAUAGGUUGGCCCGGCCCGUUGUAUCGGUACAUGCACGCGGCACGCAGUAUGCCAGUGUGCCAUAAGACCGGUAAGACUACAACUUGGUCUAGCCAGCAUACGCUGUGCGAGAGACUGUCGGCGCUGCGUUGGCUGGUCGACGAUCGCGAAUAAAGCGAACGCGUAGAAAAGUAACGUACGCAUGUUCUUUUCGUUCGUAACGCGUUAUCGUUUCUAUUUAUCGUGUCCUCUUCUUUCAUCGUACGAACUCGUCGAGAUAAUGCGAACAGAGAAAUCUGGGGCGUGUACGUUCGGUAUUCUAGUUCCUGAUAACACUUUGCGAGGCCAUGGCAAACGGUAAAAUAGCAAUGAUCAAAAUUAAUCGUAUCCUGGCCAUAAUCGUUAAGAUUGUUCGCACCGUUGCGAGCGCUACGAAGAUUGGCUGUGCCUGUCUUUGCCCGUGCUUAUUAUCGUUACUAUUAUUAUAAUAUACGACCGUAUGACGCAUUUUAGGAUUCUAGGUAGCGUAGAAUCGAGACAGCCGCCAUAAGUCACAUAUUUGAUUUGCGUGGCCGCGGAGGGUUCCAGGAGCCUGGGAAAACUCGUAGGAUUUUAUAAGGAGACGCAGGCGCGAUCGGCGGUCGCGUCGCAGGACUGGGCGUGGUGGCAAUUUUCGGGGAUGCUUACGAACACGCGGCUUUUUCGCCCUCGAUGGCUCAACGACCGAACGACGCGGGACGAAAAUAAUUCGAGGAAUGCGCUCGAGGAUAGAAUCGGCGAACGCGGCUCCUGCGACUACGGUACGUUAACGUUGAUUCGAUUUUGAAACGGUUUUCGUCGAUCGGAGCUAGUCCGUCUUCAUCUAAUAUUGUGCUGCGUUUGUUUCGGAGCGACGAGGAAGCUGAAAGAUAACCGAAGGACGAGCAACGUAUUCGUUGGGAGGAAAUAUUUGAAAAUUCUCACGGCUCUUUCUCGAUGAAGGAGAGACAGUUGUUCGGAAGCUUGCGAGUUUGAAAAACUAGGAGUCAUCGCUUUUAGCCGACGAUAUCCGGGUAAAAGACGUGGGUGUACGCAGUUACGAACACGUCGACGCAUCGGUGCUAUACACGCCGCAGCCGCACGCAUACAGCCGCGCGUAUGCACUGGUUGCACGCGUGUGCGUCGUAUCCCGCAGGAUAUUGGCCUAGGCGCUGUGUGAUUGGCCGAUCGUGCAACCAGGGUCGACGAUGCCUGUGCAAGUCUUUCCUCGUGUGUGCUAUUCAGUGGCGUAACGCCGUGGCUUCGCAUUUUUUAGGCUUUUUAAAUUCAUCUUUGGAAAAUCGAUUCAGCCAACGUAACUUCUUUGCAAAAAGACUUUGGACGAUUCGUGUAACGCGACUCGAUAAUGUAAGAGAAAUCCUUGGUGCCUAAAGUCAAGAUCGUCGAUGUCACAAAUACCGUCUUGCAAUAGCAAUUAUCGUUUUACCAAUUAACGGAUUGCAGAGCGUUUACGCGAAUUCUCAUUUUUCUAGUCUGCUGCGAAUGUCGGAGUGUCAACGAUACGAUCGUCGCAAACACGUAAAAAAAUAGGAACGAAAGUGGCUUGGAUGCAAAAGACGAGCGUCGUCUCUCCAAGAUGAAUCUUGAAUCUUGUUAAACACACACACACACACGCACACAGAGAGAGAGAGAGAGAGAGAGAGAAAGAGAGAGAGAGAGAGAGAGAGAGAGAGAGGAAUUUUGCGAAUCCACUUAAUGGUUGGCUCGCAUUUCAUGGUAGGUCGAUAAACCGCCAGAGACUGUUCCAAUAGCUGUACAUGCAACAGAAAUGACCUUUACUUCUUGUCGGCAGCGUGCAUUCGGCUCGAGAAUCAGCUGCGCAGGUCCCCUAGAUAUAUUUCGCAUUAGAAGCGCGUCGGUUACGCCACUGCGACGUUACUCGUGCUCUCCUCGCACAUACAUAUAGACAGAGGCAGAGGCAAGAGGCACACGAACAGGGAGAAACAGACAGCCAGCCGUCGCGCGGAUAGAGGAUAGAGAGACGGCAAAGAAGAGAGAUAGAGAGAGUCGGAGAGAUAGAGCAACGCACCAACACAUGUUGGCGUGGCCACCCCUAUGCGAGUCGGGCCAUGACCAGCUCUUGGCUGAGUGCGUCUUCUAAACGCACGGUUCGUCAGUGGUCGCCGAGUAGGUCGUAGGAGAGGGUUUCCGUUCGCGCGUCGACUUCGUCCUGGCUGCGGGUGUGCACUCGUAUCGCAAGAACAGACGAAUCGUCGAGACCGUGUUGCCCGAUGUGCAAGAAAAUAGAGGAAAAUCAAAGAAAACUGAAGGAAACCGAAGAAAAUUGAAAAGCUCUUUCGACUACGGACUUGGAAAGGGAGCACAGAGAAAGCGCGCGCGCGCGCGCGCACGGACACGGAACAGAGGCAAAUGAAAAGAAUUCUGCGAUGAACGCAGGAGACCCUUCUCGAGGCUACUGCUGAGAGCAGACAGAAAUUGCAAGCGAAACUAA